This 768-nucleotide ribosomal RNA is filed under the name uncultured bacterium. RNAcentral's name for it is "bacterial SSU rRNA". It matches the Rfam family "Bacterial small subunit ribosomal RNA", at positions 28 to 776 of the family's 1533-position model. The record is from RNAcentral.
AUUGAACGCUGGCGGCAGGCCUAACACAUGCAAGUCGAGCGGCAGCGACUUAACUGAACCUUCGGGGAACGUUAAGGGCGGCGAGCGGCGGACGGGUGAGUAAUGCCUGGGAAUAUGCCCUGAUGUGGGGGAUAACUAUUGGAAACGAUAGCUAAUACCGCAUAAUCUCUUCGAAGCAAAGAGGGGGACCUUCGGGCCUCUCGCGUCAGGAUUAGCCCAGGUGGGAUUAGCUUGUUGGUGAGGUAAUGGCUCACCAAGGCAACGAUCCCUAGCUGGUCUGAGAGGAUGAUCAGCCACACUGGAACUGAGACACGGUCCAGACUCCUACGGGAGGCAGCAGUGGGGAAUAUUGCACAAUGGGGGAAACCCUGAUGCAGCCAUGCCGCGUGUGUGAAGAAGGCCUUCGGGUUGUAAAGCACUUUCAGUAGGGAGGAAGGUAGUGUAGUUAACACCUGCACUAUUUGACGUUACCUACAGAAGAAGCACCGGCUAACUCCGUGCCAGCAGCCGCGGUAAUACGGAGGGUGCGAGCGUUAAUCGGAAUUACUGGGCGUAAAGCGCAUGCAGGCGGCCUGUUAAGUCAGAUGUGAAAGCCCGGGGCUUAACCUCGGAAUUGCAUUUGAAACUGGCAGGCUAGAGUCUUGUAGAGGGGGGUAGAAUUUCAGGUGUAGCGGUGAAAUGCGUAGAGAUCUGAAGGAAUACCAGUGGCGAAGCGGCCCCCUGGACAAAGACUGACGCUCAGAUGCGAAAGCGUGGGGAGCAAACAGG